AAAAUUUCCAGGAACCACGAGACAUUGCCAAUAAAUAAACCAUAGGAAAGCUUAGGGUAAUUUUUUUCCAACGCCUUUUUUCUUUUCUUUUUUUAUAAUUACAAAAAUCUUAUGCCUUUUCCGAAAAAAGCUACGCUUUUGAUAAAAAUUCUUAAAUAAGUACUUUUAAGGCAAACUUUUGCAAAAACGGGAAAAGAACAAUAAAUUUUUUAAUCAUUUUCUUGUCGUUACCUUAUUAAAGAUUUAUGGAGUUUCUCAAUGGCCCAUCGAUGGUAUCAUGGUGCCAUCAUCUUUUGACAAUGCAAGAAAAAUGAAUGUGUUUCGCAAUUGGGAAUCUUUUCAGUUCCAUUGUUCUGCAACUUUCGAGAACAAGAUCCGCAGGUGCAUCCAUUCUUCUUCAUGCCUGCAAAUCGAUCUUGCAGAUGUCCAGCAACAGAUCUUCUGAGUUCAAGUAUGUUUCGAGAACGAGAUCCGCAGGUGCAUCCAUUCUUCUUCAUGCCUGCAGAUCGAUCUUGCAGAUGUCCAGCAACAGAUCUUCUGAGUUCAAGAUCGUGAGCUUUCAUGCUCGUGGGCACAAACCAAAACAUGAAAAACUUGUUGCAGGAAGAACUCAUGUAGUGAAGGAGGACACUGCAGAUUCCACAAGAAAGCCAUUCAUACAAGGAACAUCUCAUGUACCACUGCCUUAUGACAAUUAGAAACAGCCCUGCUUCUAAAAGUUUAAAAGCAGCUUCUUGAAGAGUCAAGGAAUUGACAAGGAAACUCCAUAUUCAGCCAUGCCCAAUGCUUAACAUGAAUUCCACGGUUUCCAAACUGCCUAAGGACCACUCUUUGGACAAGUUGCAUUCCCUCUCUUAGAGUGAUCAGCCGGUUAGUAUUGUCUUGUGGAACCACGGCUACUGUUUCAGUGACCAUUUAACGCAGAACAGUUCUAUUGUAAUUUUUAGCAAGGAUACAGUGGAUUGCAGGAAAUUGGUAUGGUAAGGGACGAUUGAGAACUCUGACACCAAUGCU
This is a long non-coding RNA of Nymphaea colorata (pocket water lily), 1014 nucleotides long. RefSeq lists it as uncharacterized. The transcript has 3 exons. The record is from RefSeq and is a predicted model, not a curated record. Lineage: Eukaryota; Viridiplantae; Streptophyta; Magnoliopsida; Nymphaeales; Nymphaeaceae.